GCUACUAGGAGCCUUGCUGAGGAAGCCGGCAUGCCCAAACCAGCAAGGAGCAGCUGUGGCCACAGAGAGGAAGGAGAGCUGCAGGACUAGCCCAUUGCCCAGGAGGCCUGCUUAGGUCUCUGCAGAGGCCAUGAAAAAUGUGCCAUUCAGCUUUUCUGCUAAUUGUUGAAGGCCCAGCUGCCACCGCUCUGGAUCUACACCCCAUUUGCAAUGAAGCCACACAUCUCGUGAGCCACUCCCAGCCCGUGACUGGGCACAGCAGGGGCCCUAACGCAGGAUAGCUCUGAGGAGGUGUGGGACCCUUGACAGUGGAGGACAUUGGCCCGAGAACUCUUCAUCGACCUGAUCAAACCUCUCUUGGAACUGCAAAGCAGUCUGAGACUCUUCUCCCAGUUUAUUAUCUCCCUAUUAACUAUCUAUAGUGUAGCUCAUUGGAAAAGAGUCAUUAAUUUUGAUUAUCAAAUUCACUCCUUUUUCUUUUUGACUUGCACUUUGGGUUUUUGAGAUUUUGUUUAGCAAUGCCGCUUCCAACCCUUAGUCACACGCAGUCCCCCUCUCCUCACAGGUUUCAGAUCCAUAUCAUAGCUGAAGGCUCUCUCUGCUGUCCAGCUCCUCCUCUGUGUGGGACAUUUAUCUGAGUUUUAAAAUGUCCUUCCCAAAAGUUGACUUUAGUAUUAUUUUAUUAUUUAUUUUUGAGACAGUGUCUCACUCCAGUCCAGACUAGAGUACAGUGGCCUGAUCAUAGCUCAGUGCAACCUGGAACACCUAGGUUCAAGCCAUCCUCCCAUCUCAGCCUCCUGAGUAGCUGGGACUCCAGGCACACACCACCACACCGGGAUAAUUUUUUUUAUUUUUUGUAGAAGUGGGCUCUCACCAUGUUGCCCAGGCUGGUCUUGAACUCCUGGACUCAAGCAAAUCUCCCACCUCCGCCUCCCAAAGGGCUGGGAUUACAGGCGUGAGCCACCAUGCCUGACCUGUAGUGUAUUAUUGAUUUAUUAUUAGGUAUUUUAUAGUUUUUAAUAUUAUUUUGUGUGUUUUUUUAAAAUUUUCAACUUGGUUGUUACUGAAGUAGAGAAAUUCUAUUGAUUUUUGUAGGUUGAUCUUAUAUCUUGCACCUAGUUGAACUCUCUAAUUUUACUAGUUUGUCAUUUUAUUUUUAUUUAUGUUGAGUUUUCUAGGGAUAUUAUCACAUCAUCUGAAAAUAAAACAGUUUUAUCUCUCUCUCUUUUUCUUUUUUUCUGAGAUGAACUCUUGCUCUGUUGUCCAGGCUGGAGUAUAGUGGCAUGAUCAUGGCCCACUGCAGUCUCGAAUUCCCAGGCUCAAGUGACCCUCCCACCUCAACCUCCCGGGUAGCUGAGACUAUAGACAUGCCUGGUUAAUUUUCAAAUAUUUUAUAGAGGUGAGGUCUCCCUAUGCUGCCCAGGCUGGUCUUGAACUCCUGGACUCAAGUGAAAUUCCCGCCUUGGCCUCCCAAAGUACUGGGAUUACAGUCAUGAGUCAUCACACUCGGUCUGUCUCUUCUUUUUAAAUUAGAACUCUCCUCAUUUGUCUUUCCCUUUUUAUAGUGUUGGCUGGGACCUCCAGUACUAUGUCAACCAGUAGUGGUGAUAUUAGGCAUCUAUUCAUUAUUCCCAAUCUUCAAGGAAAUGCAUAUAAAUUUUCUACAGUAGGUAUGAUGUUUGCUCUAAGACUUUUGUCUAUGACUUUUACCAAAUUAAAGAAUAGAUGUGGCCUUUAUCCAAUGCUUUUUCUGCAUUCAUUGAAUAGUCAGAAAUAUCCUUAUUUUAGCCUAUCAAUGUGGUGAAGUACACAGAUACAUUUUUUUGAUGGUCAUUUAUCCUUGCACUCCUAGGACAAGCACAACUUGAUCAUGAUGUAUUUUUAAAAAUACUUGUUGAUUCGUGUUUUAUUAAGGAUUUUUGCAUUUAUUGUAUGCAUUUAUGGUUCUUUUAAUUGGAAUGUAUAGACUAUUUACAUUUAAUGUAAUUAUCAGUGUAGUUGGGCUUAAGUUUACCUUCUUGAUAUUUGCUUUCUAUUUUUCCAUCUGUUCUUUGUUCCUUUCUUUUGUCUUUUUCAGCCUCCUUUUGGAUUAAUUUAGCAUUUUUUAGAAUUCCAUUUUACCACCACUAUUGGCUUCUUUGCUGUACCUCUUCGUCUUAUGCUUUUAGUGAUUGUUCUAGGAUUUAAAAUAUGAAUCUUUAACUUAUCACCAUCUAUAUUCAGUGGCUACUAUACCAUUUCAGAUAUAAUUUAAGAGCUUUACAACAAUAUACUUCUGACCAGGCGUGGUGGCUCCAUGCCUGUAAUCCCAGCACUUUGGGAGGCCAAGGCAGGCAGAUCACUUGAGUCCAGGAGUUCGAGACCAGCCUGGGCAACAUGGCAAAACAGUGUCUCUACUGAAAAUACAAAAAUUAGCUGGGCAUGGUGGCGAGUACCUGUAGUCCCAGCUACUUGGGAGGCUGAGGCAGGAGGAUUGCUUGAGCCCGGGAGGCGGAGGUUGCAGUGAGCUGACAUGGCACCACUGUACUCCAGCCUGGGUGACGGAAUGAGAUCCCGUCUCAAAAAUAAAAUAGGCCGGGCACGGUGGCUCAUGCCUGUAAUCCCAGCACUUUGGGAGGCUGAGGCGGGCAGAUCACGAGGUCAGGAGAUUGAGACCAUCCUGGCUAACAU
This 2670-nucleotide long non-coding RNA is filed under the name Homo sapiens (human). RNAcentral describes it as "PREDICTED lncRNA (TCONS_00263302)". Lineage: Eukaryota; Metazoa; Chordata; Mammalia; Primates; Hominidae. The record is from RNAcentral.